Molecule: ribosomal RNA, 440 nt
Filed under: uncultured bacterium
Lineage: Bacteria
Description: partial 16S ribosomal RNA
Rfam family: Bacterial small subunit ribosomal RNA
Source: RNAcentral
CCUACGGGUGGCAGCAGUGGGGGAUAUUGCACAAUGGGGGAAACCCUGAUGCAGCGACGCCGCGUGGGUGAAGAAGCGCCUCGGCGCGUAAAGCCCUGUCAGCAGGGAAGAAAAUGACGGUACCUGAAGAAGAAGCCCCGGCUAACUACGGGCCAGCAGCCGCGGUAAUACGUAGGGGGCAAGCGUAAUCCGGAUGUACUGGGUGUAAAGGGGGCGCAGACGGCGAUGCAAGCCAGGAGUGAAAGCCCGGGGCCCAACCCCGGGACUGCUCUUGGAACUGCGUGGCUAGAGUGCAGGAGGGGCAGGCGGAAUUCGUGGUGUAGCGGUGAAAUGCGUAGAUAUCAGGAGGAACACCGGUGGCGAAGGCGGCCUGCUGGACUGCAACUGACGUUGAGGCACGAAAGCGUGGGGAGCAAACAGGAUUAGAUACCCGUGUAGUC